Molecule: ribosomal RNA, 231 nt
Filed under: uncultured bacterium
Lineage: Bacteria
Description: partial 16S ribosomal RNA
Rfam family: Bacterial small subunit ribosomal RNA
Source: RNAcentral
CGGACGGGUGAGUAAUGUCUGGGAAACUGCCCGAUGGAGGGGGAUAACUACUGGAAACGGUAGCUAAUACCGCAUAACGUCGCAAGACCAAAGAGGGGACCUUCGGGCCUCUUGCCAUCGGAUGUGCCCGGAUGGGAUUAGCUAGUAGGUGAGGUAACGGCUUACCUAGGCGACGAUCCCUAGCUGGUCUGAGAGGAUGAUCAGCCACACUGGGACUGAGACACGGUCCAG